UCAGGCCUAACACAUGCAAGUCGAGCGCGAAAGUCUUCGGAUGAGUAGAGCGGCGAACGGGUGAGUAAUGCAUGGGAAUCUGCCUGGUAGUGGGGGACAACGUCUCGAAAGGGACGCUAAUACCGCAUACGCCCUACGGGGGAAAGGGGGGGAUCUUCGGACCUCUCGCUAUCAGAUGAGCCCAUGUCAGAUUAGCUAGUUGGUGAGGUAAAGGCUCACCAAGGCGACGAUCUGUAACUGGUCUGAGAGGAUGAUCAGUCACACUGGAACUGAGACACGGUCCAGACUCCUACGGGAGGCAGCAGUGGGGAAUAUUGGACAAUGGGGGCAACCCUGAUCC
RNAcentral lists this ribosomal RNA (340 nucleotides) under uncultured bacterium. Its description in RNAcentral is "bacterial SSU rRNA". It matches the Rfam family "Bacterial small subunit ribosomal RNA", at positions 43 to 389 of the family's 1533-position model. The record is from RNAcentral.